RNAcentral lists this ribosomal RNA (359 nucleotides) under uncultured bacterium. Its description in RNAcentral is "bacterial SSU rRNA". It matches the Rfam family "Bacterial small subunit ribosomal RNA", at positions 29 to 416 of the family's 1533-position model. The record is from RNAcentral.
CAUGAACGCUGGCGGCAUGCCUAACACAUGCAAGUCGAACGAGACCUUCGGGUCUAGUGGCGCACGGGUGCGUAACGCGUGGGAAUCUGCCCUUGGGUUCGGAAUAACAGUUAGAAAUGACUGCUAAUACCGAAUGAUGUCGUAAGACCAAAGAUUUAUCGCCCAGGGAUGAGCCCGCGUAAGAUUAGGUAGUUGGUGUGGUAAAGGCGCACCAAGCCGACGAUCUAGUCUGGUCUGAGAGGAUGAUCAGCCACACUGGGACUGAGACACGGCCCAGACUCCUACGGGAGGCAGCAGUGGGGAAUAUUGGACAAUGGGCGAAAGCCUGAUCCAGCAAUGCCGCGUGAGUGAUGAAGGCC